RNAcentral lists this long non-coding RNA (1722 nucleotides) under Arachis ipaensis. RNAcentral's name for it is "long non-coding RNA (AIPA_LNC001804)". Lineage: Eukaryota; Viridiplantae; Streptophyta; Magnoliopsida; Fabales; Fabaceae. The record is from RNAcentral.
UUACACGUGGCACCUGCAGUUGACAACUCAGCCUCCACCUGACACGUCAUCCAGGCAACAUGUUAGCAACCGGUCACAGGGGUCGAUUCGUUCACUUAUGUUGUUGGUUGAGGACCAAGUUGAGGUUUCUAAAUGAUAAAGGUGCGAUAUGUCUCACUUUAAAAUGUUCAGGGGCCGGAAAGGGUAUUUACCCUAUAAUUAAAGAAUAUUAAAACUCCAUAUUACUUUGGAGUAUCAAAUUACGUGCGCACUUCACACAUGUACAAACUCAGAUACAGUUAAUUCGUUAAUUUUAUGUGAAGUUGAUUGUUAAGAAUAGUUAAAUAAUUUGAUAAAUUUAACUAAAUUAUCAUCUAAUGCAGUUAAUUUCAUAUGAAAUUAAUAGUUGAGAAUUCGUUAAAUGAUUUGAUAAAUUUAACUAAAUUAUCAUUUAACAAUUCUUAACUAUCAACUUUAACUUUACAUGAAAUUAACUCCACUUGAGUUUCUAAUUAUACACACUCUUCGUUGCUCGUUAAUUUUUUGUUAAAUGGGUUAUUGUGUUUGGAACAGUAAAUUUUCGUUCUGCCAUUUUUAAGUGUUAGCCAUAUUUUUUACGCUUUUCUUUUGAAUGAUUGGAAUGCUUAAUAUUGUUAAGUGUUUUGAAGUGUCAACUGAACAUGGAUAAAUAAUCAGGUCGCGAACUCAUUGUUCUUUGUAAUUCCUAAUUGAGGGCGGUCUCCAAAGUCAUUUUUGCUAUUUGAAAAAAUUAAGAGUUAUUGAAUUUUUAUGUUCAUAGUGUUAAAUAAUGACAUCUGACAUUGAAUGUCCUUGUUGAAAAUUACAUAGUUAGAGGGUGUUCUAGUUGUUGAAUUGCACUGCCAUAAUCUGAAACUGUUUGUGCUUAUUUUUAUUGAAGUAUUUACAUGGAUAUGGUUACUUGAAAUGUGGAACUACCUUGGUUUGACGGUAAUAUAACAAGACAAUGAACUUUACAUUUGUUAUUGGCUCAUGUUGCUUUUAUAGUUUUAUUGCAUGCAGUUAUCAAAGGCAAUGCUAGACACUUGAGCAAUUGAAGCAAUUACCAUUUAUGAUAGAAGAUGUGUAACGUGUUAUGCAAGUUAGUUACAUAGAUGAUAGAAUAAUGAAAUGGGGGCCUUGCAAUGAGCAUGGUAUAAAAGAAUAAACAAUUGUCUACAACUGUGCACAAGUAUAAGUAUAAUUGACAAUGAUAGCAAAUUUCUCAGAUGAACUAGUGUAUACAAAAGAAAACACUAAAUCAUCUAUCUGGAUCUAAACAAGGAAUGAGUUAUGUAUACUGUAUAGAGCUGAAUACACAUUGAAACAUACCAAUACCAAUUGUCAAGGGUGCGUGUUAUUUUACCGAUUGCCCCUCCGUCCUGAAAUGAUUUGAAUUAAAUAAAUAUUUGUAUAUAUCUGAAACGACGUUAAUAAGAAAAAGAUGAAACCUGAAUAGAAUAGAAAAGAUUAGACGGGAAGGUUAACGACGUCGUUCUUAUAAGAAGGAGGGUUAUUGGGAGGGGGAUUGGAAGAGGAGGAAGUGGAUUUAGAGGUGGUGAAGGUGUGAUAAGAGGUGUCGUGAUCGUCGUCGUCGUCGUCGUCGGCAGUGGAGAGGUUGAUGCAGGAGCAGCGGACAAGGGUGUUUAAGAAGGCAGAGGCGAGGUUGGUUCCCAUGGCGUUCCAACAGGCUCCUUCUCCUUCCUUGGAAUCCGAAUUCUCCAU